Non-coding RNA from Hordeum vulgare subsp. vulgare (domesticated barley), 106 nucleotides. NCBI's taxonomy places the organism in Eukaryota, Viridiplantae, Streptophyta, Magnoliopsida, Poales, Poaceae. The record is from Rfam.
CUUGUACUCCCUCCGUCCGGAAAUACUUGUCCUAAAAAUGGAUAUAUUGGAUGUAUCUAUAACUAAAAUAAGUCUAGAUUCAUCCAUUCCUAGGACAAGUAUUUCC